This 548-nucleotide ribosomal RNA is filed under the name Saccharomyces cerevisiae (brewer's yeast). Its description in RNAcentral is "partial large subunit ribosomal RNA". It matches the Rfam family "Eukaryotic large subunit ribosomal RNA", at positions 73 to 635 of the family's 3401-position model. The record is from RNAcentral. Lineage: Eukaryota; Fungi; Ascomycota; Saccharomycetes; Saccharomycetales; Saccharomycetaceae.
GAUUGCCUUAGUAACGGCGAGUGAAGCGGCAAAAGCUCAAAUUUGAAAUCUGGUACCUUCGGUGCCCGAGUUGUAAUUUGGAGAGGGCAACUUUGGGGCCGUUCCUUGUCUAUGUUCCUUGGAACAGGACGUCAUAGAGGGUGAGAAUCCCGUGUGGCGAGGAGUGCGGUUCUUUGUAAAGUGCCUUCGAAGAGUCGAGUUGUUUGGGAAUGCAGCUCUAAGUGGGUGGUAAAUUCCAUCUAAAGCUAAAUAUUGGCGAGAGACCGAUAGCGAACAAGUACAGUGAUGGAAAGAUGAAAAGAACUUUGAAAAGAGAGUGAAAAAGUACGUGAAAUUGUUGAAAGGGAAGGGCAUUUGAUCAGACAUGGUGUUUUGUGCCCUCUGCUCCUUGUGGGUAGGGGAAUCUCGCAUUUCACUGGGCCAGCAUCAGUUUUGGUGGCAGGAUAAAUCCAUAGGAAUGUAGCUUGCCUCGGUAAGUAUUAUAGCCUGUGGGAAUACUGCCAGCUGGGACUGAGGACUGCGACGUAAGUCAAGGAUGCUGGCAUAAU